This 253-nucleotide ribosomal RNA is filed under the name uncultured bacterium. RNAcentral describes it as "partial 16S ribosomal RNA". It matches the Rfam family "Bacterial small subunit ribosomal RNA", at positions 524 to 776 of the family's 1533-position model. The record is from RNAcentral.
UACAGGGGGUGCAAACGUUGUUCGGAAUUACUGGGCGUAAAGCGUGUGUAGGCGGCUUUGCAAGUCGGAUGUGAAAGCCCCGGGCUCAACCCGGGAAGUGCACUCGAUACUGCAGAGCUUGAGUGUCGGAGAGGUUGGUGGAAUUCUCGGUGUAGAGGUGAAAUUCGUAGAUAUCGAGAGGAACACCGGCGGCGAAGGCGGCCAACUGGACGACUACUGACGCUGAGACACGAAAGCGUGGGGAGCAAACAGG